This 435-nucleotide ribosomal RNA is filed under the name uncultured bacterium. RNAcentral's name for it is "partial 16S ribosomal RNA". It matches the Rfam family "Bacterial small subunit ribosomal RNA", at positions 29 to 507 of the family's 1533-position model. The record is from RNAcentral.
AACGAACGCUGGCGGCAUGCCUAACACAUGCAAGUCGAACGAUUGCCUUCGGGUGAUAGUGGCGCACGGGUGCGUAACGCGUGGGAAUCUGCCCUUAGGUUCGGAAUAACAGCUGGAAACGGCUGCUAAUACCGGAUGAUAUCGCGAGAUCAAAGAUUUAUCGCCUGAGGAUGAGCCCGCGUUGUAUUAGGUAGUUGGUGGGGUAAAGGCCUACCAAGCCGACGAUCCAUAGCUGGUCUGAGAGGAUGAUCAGCCACACUGGGACUGAGACACGGCCCAGACUCCUACGGGAGGCAGCAGUGGGGAAUAUUGGACAAUGGGCGCAAGCCUGAUCCAGCAAUGCCGCGUGAGUGAUGAAGGCCCUAGGGUUGUAAAGCUCUUUUACCCGGGAAGAUAAUGACUGUACCGGGAGAAUAAGCCCCGGCUAACUCCGUG